GAAACUGCUUAGAGGUUAAGCCCGAUGAACCUGAAUAUCCGUUAUGGAAAAUUCAUCAUUAAUACUAUGGUAUUUAUAAUAUUAUAGAAAUAGUGUGCAAUUUUUCCAUAUAAGGACAUUGUAAUCUGUUAAUGUAAUAAAUAUUUAUUAAAAGAUCCUUUGCUUAAGUUUAUUCAAAUUAGUUAUUUUCGGAUUUCUAACAUAAAAUAAAUGUAUUGGAUUUGAUAAAUCAUUGACAGAUUUAAUUAUAUAUUGCGCUUAAAUUUUUCGGAAUUUUACAAUGACAAAUAGAUCUAUUGAUCUAGAUGUUUAUAUUGUUUGCGCUUUUAUGAUUAACAAUGCGAUAGAUUCAGGAUACCUUCGGGACCCGUCUUGAAACACGGACCAAGGAGUCUAACAUAUGUGCAAGUCAUUGGGUAUUUUUAAUAAAACCCAAUGGCAUAAUUAACUUAACUGUUUAAAUGGGAUUAGUUUAUGUUUUAUUAUGAAACAUUAAUUCAAUCCCGGGGCGUUCUAUACAGUUAUGUAUAAUAAUAUUUAUAUUAUUUAUGCCUCUAACUAGAGCGUACCUUGAGC
This 576-nucleotide ribosomal RNA is filed under the name Melanostoma annulipes. RNAcentral's name for it is "eukaryotic LSU rRNA". The record is from RNAcentral. Lineage: Eukaryota; Metazoa; Arthropoda; Insecta; Diptera; Syrphidae.